RNAcentral lists this ribosomal RNA (2921 nucleotides) under Staphylococcus aureus. RNAcentral describes it as "23S ribosomal RNA". It matches the Rfam family "Bacterial large subunit ribosomal RNA". Lineage: Bacteria; Bacillati; Bacillota; Bacilli; Caryophanales; Staphylococcaceae. The record is from RNAcentral.
UUAAGUUAUUAAGGGCGCACGGUGGAUGCCUUGGCACUAGAAGCCGAUGAAGGACGUUACUAACGACGAUAUGCUUUGGGGAGCUGUAAGUAAGCUUUGAUCCAGAGAUUUCCGAAUGGGGAAACCCAGCAUGAGUUAUGUCAUGUUAUCGAUAUGUGAAUACAUAGCAUAUCAGAAGGCACACCCGGAGAACUGAAACAUCUUAGUACCCGGAGGAAGAGAAAGAAAAUUCGAUUCCCUUAGUAGCGGCGAGCGAAACGGGAAGAGCCCAAACCAACAAGCUUGCUUGUUGGGGUUGUAGGACACUCUGUACGGAGUUACAAAGGACGACAUUAGACGAAUCAUCUGGAAAGAUGAAUCAAAGAAGGUAAUAAUCCUGUAGUCGAAAAUGUUGUCUCUCUUGAGUGGAUCCUGAGUACGACGGAGCACGUGAAAUUCCGUCGGAAUCUGGGAGGACCAUCUCCUAAGGCUAAAUACUCUCUAGUGACCGAUAGUGAACCAGUACCGUGAGGGAAAGGUGAAAAGCACCCCGGAAGGGGAGUGAAAUAGAACCUGAAACCGUGUGCUUACAAGUAGUCAGAGCCCGUUAAUGGGUGAUGGCGUGCCUUUUGUAGAAUGAACCGGCGAGUUACGAUUUGAUGCAAGGUUAAGCAGUAAAUGUGGAGCCGUAGCGAAAGCGAGUCUGAAUAGGGCGUUUAGUAUUUGGUCGUAGACCCGAAACCAGGUGAUCUACCCUUGGUCAGGUUGAAGUUCAGGUAACACUGAAUGGAGGACCGAACCGACUUACGUUGAAAAGUGAGCGGAUGAACUGAGGGUAGCGGAGAAAUUCCAAUCGAACCUGGAGAUAGCUGGUUCUCUCCGAAAUAGCUUUAGGGCUAGCCUCAAGUGAUGAUUAUUGGAGGUAGAGCACUGUUUGGACGAGGGGCCCCUCUCGGGUUACCGAAUUCAGACAAACUCCGAAUGCCAAUUAAUUUAACUUGGGAGUCAGAACAUGGGUGAUAAGGUCCGUGUUCGAAAGGGAAACAGCCCAGACCACCAGCUAAGGUCCCAAAAUAUAUGUUAAGUGGAAAAGGAUGUGGCGUUGCCCAGACAACUAGGAUGUUGGCUUAGAAGCAGCCAUCAUUUAAAGAGUGCGUAAUAGCUCACUAGUCGAGUGACACUGCGCCGAAAAUGUACCGGGGCUAAACAUAUUACCGAAGCUGUGGAUUGUCCUUUGGACAAUGGUAGGAGAGCGUUCUAAGGGNGUUGAAGCAUGAUCGUAAGGACAUGUGGAGCGCUUAGAAGUGAGAAUGCCGGUGUGAGUAGCGAAAGACGGGUGAGAAUCCCGUCCACCGAUUGACUAAGGUUUCCAGAGGAAGGCUCGUCCGCUCUGGGUUAGUCGGGUCCUAAGCUGAGGCCGACAGGCGUAGGCGAUGGAUAACAGGUUGAUAUUCCUGUACCACCUAUAAUCGUUUUAAUCGAUGGGGGGACGCAGUAGGAUAGGCGAAGCGUGCGAUUGGAUUGCACGUCUAAGCAGUAAGGCUGAGUAUUAGGCAAAUCCGGUACUCGUUAAGGCUGAGCUGUGAUGGGGAGAAGACAUUGUGUCUUCGAGUCGUUGAUUUCACACUGCCGAGAAAAGCCUCUAGAUAGAAAAUAGGUGCCCGUACCGCAAACCGACACAGGUAGUCAAGAUGAGAAUUCUAAGGUGAGCGAGCGAACUCUCGUUAAGGAACUCGGCAAAAUGACCCCGUAACUUCGGGAGAAGGGGUGCUCUUUAGGGUUAACGCCCAGAAGAGCCGCAGUGAAUAGGCCCAAGCGACUGUUUAUCAAAAACACAGGUCUCUGCUAAACCGUAAGGUGAUGUAUAGGGGCUGACGCCUGCCCGGUGCUGGAAGGUUAAGAGGAGUGGUUAGCUUCUGCGAAGCUACGAAUCGAAGCCCCAGUAAACGGCGGCCGUAACUAUAACGGUCCUAAGGUAGCGAAAUUCCUUGUCGGGUAAGUUCCGACCCGCACGAAAGGCGUAACGAUUUGGGCACUGUCUCAACGAGAGACUCGGUGAAAUCAUAGUACCUGUGAAGAUGCAGGUUACCCGCGACAGGACGGAAAGACCCCGUGGAGCUUUACUGUAGCCUGAUAUUGAAAUUCGGCACAGCUUGUACAGGAUAGGUAGGAGCCUUUGAAACGUGAGCGCUAGCUUACGUGGAGGCGCUGGUGGGAUACUACCCUAGCUGUGUUGGCUUUCUAACCCGCACCACUUAUCGUGGUGGGAGACAGUGUCANGCGGGCAGUUUGACUGGGGCGGUCGCCUCCUAAAAGGUAACGGAGGCGCUCAAAGGUUCCCUCAGAAUGGUUGGAAAUCAUUCAUAGAGUGUAAAGGCAUAAGGGAGCUUGACUGCGAGACCUACAAGUCGAGCAGGGUCGAAAGACGGACUUAGUGAUCCGGUGGUUCCGCAUGGAAGGGCCAUCGCUCAACGGAUAAAAGCUACCCCGGGGAUAACAGGCUUAUCUCCCCCAAGAGUUCACAUCGACGGGGAGGUUUGGCACCUCGAUGUCGGCUCAUCGCAUCCUGGGGCUGUAGUCGGUCCCAAGGGUUGGGCUGUUCGCCCAUUAAAGCGGUACGCGAGCUGGGUUCAGAACGUCGUGAGACAGUUCGGUCCCUAUCCGUCGUGGGCGUAGGAAAUUUGAGAGGAGCUGUCCUUAGUACGAGAGGACCGGGAUGGACAUACCUCUGGUGUACCAGUUGUCGUGCCAACGGCAUAGCUGGGUAGCUAUGUGUGGACGGGAUAAGUGCUGAAAGCAUCUAAGCAUGAAGCCCCCCUCAAGAUGAGAUUUCCCAACUUCGGUUAUAAGAUCCCUCAAAGAUGAUGAGGUUAAUAGGUUCGAGGUGGAAGCAUGGUGACAUGUGGAGCUGACGAAUACUAAUCGAUCGAAGACUUAAUCAA